RNAcentral lists this ribosomal RNA (400 nucleotides) under phytoplankton environmental sample. Its description in RNAcentral is "partial small subunit ribosomal RNA". It matches the Rfam family "Eukaryotic small subunit ribosomal RNA", at positions 587 to 988 of the family's 1831-position model. The record is from RNAcentral.
AGCUCCAAUAGCGUAUAUUAAAGUUGUUGCAGUUAAAAAGCUUGUAGUUGGAUUUCUGGUAGGAGUGACCGUUCCGGACUUGAUUGUCUGUGUAUUGUGUUGUCUCCAGCCAUCCUUGUGGAGAACUUUUCUUGCACUAAUUUGUAGGGAUUGGGACCUGCAUCGUUUACUGUGAAAAAAUUAGAGUGUUUAAAGCAGGCAAUCGCUUGAAUACAUUAGCAUGGAAUAAUAAGAUAGGACUUUGGUACUAUUUUGUUGGUUUGCAUACCAAAUUAAUGAUCAACAGGAACAGUUUGAGGAUAUUCGUAUGAACAUGUCAGAGGUGAAAUUCUUGGAUUUUGAUCAGACGAACUACUGCGAAAGCAUUUAUCAAGGAUGUUUUCAUUAAUCAAGAACGAAA